GAACCGGGCCAGUCAGGUUUCGCCACGUGGCGAGAUUUGGUUUUAUUUUAUUUUAUUUUAAUUCGGCCGAUUUGGAUAAGGCACUUUUGCAGAAAAGUCCUCGUAACUUCAAAGCAUCAUAUCUUUCAAACCGUCUGUCCAAAAAUUGUGCUCCGCACCAUUCUGGAAUCGUCACAACUUGUAGAAUAUUUUAGCACUGUCUAAUUUCAGUUUUGAACAACUUAGG
Molecule: long non-coding RNA, 226 nt
Filed under: Brachypodium distachyon (stiff brome)
Lineage: Eukaryota; Viridiplantae; Streptophyta; Magnoliopsida; Poales; Poaceae
Description: long non-coding RNA (BDIS_LNC005619)
Source: RNAcentral